UAUGUCAUCGAUGGGACCACAGCACCCACUAGGAAUUCUUUAUCGCAUUAGGAUUUUCAUUUCCUUUCCAUAGAGUGAAGGGAUCUGAAAAAUUAGUAGGAGUCAUUGUUUGCAUCUUAAAGUCCCUAGAAGCAAAUUAAAUAUUAAGUACAAAAGUCUAACUUGAAUCUCUACUCUUGCAGUUAAACCAUAAUGUCAGCCUUAAAUCCUCUAGCCCGCAUCCUUGAAACCAAUCAUUUGAUCGAUACUAAUUAUAAAGACUGGCUUAGAAACCUCAAGAUUGUCUUAACCUUAGAAAAAUUAAGCCAUGUUCUUGACCA
RNAcentral lists this long non-coding RNA (320 nucleotides) under Elaeis guineensis (African oil palm). RNAcentral's name for it is "long non-coding RNA (EGUI_LNC049722)". Lineage: Eukaryota; Viridiplantae; Streptophyta; Magnoliopsida; Arecales; Arecaceae. The record is from RNAcentral.